Molecule: long non-coding RNA, 1006 nt
Organism: Gadus macrocephalus (Pacific cod)
Lineage: Eukaryota; Metazoa; Chordata; Actinopteri; Gadiformes; Gadidae
Exons: 3
Source: RefSeq, a predicted model, not a curated record
UAACAUAGAUAGCUGAUAGAUAGAUAGAGUAGAUAUAUAAAUAGAUAAAAUGGUUUACUACUGUAUUUGUGGCGGGUGCAACAACUCAAGCAAAAGUGGACAUAGGGUCCAUUGCUUCCCCAAGGAUAAAGGGAUCUUCCGAAACUGGGUGCUUCGGAAGCAAAGAGCUAGCUUAUUUUUCAGCUAGCUCUGUUACCGCAUACUCAUGAAUAUGCAGCGCGCAUUUCAAGGAGGAUGAUUACCACUCAGGGGAUGCCAAGAUGGUCUCACUUGGUUUAAAGAGUGAGAGGAUGGCGAAGUUAAUUCCUACCGCCGUGCCGUCUGUGCAUGCAAACCACUCUGCCUGCCCUGUCCCGAGGUCGAGAGACACCGUCUGCCGCAAGCGAGAGAUUGCCACGGCUUCUCUUAGCGGCGCUGCAUUACAAUGCCAAUCGCGAGACAGCACGGAGAAGUGACGGAACGGAGAAGUACUGCGUGCGGUAUCCGCGCUUCAGAAAAGGUUAUGCAACAUCAUUAAUGAAGGCCCUUCGGGAGAGCUACGUCAAUUCACCCGCGGUUCUUCGAGAGGUUAGCGCCAAUUCGUCCUCCAAUGUACCCGCCCCCAUCGCCAAAUCCUUCGAACAGAUUCCUAAGGAGGAGGCCGUCAGCCUCUACCUAGCCCGGCAGUCACGCUUCAAGAAAACCUAAUUUCACAUUAUUAUUAUUUUCCACAGAAAAUUCUAAUGAUUUAGUUGUUAUUAUUUGCAUGAAUUUUUUUUGCAUGUAAUUCAAAAUAAUUUGGCAAUCAUUUUACCUGUGCCUUGUCAACCUCGGUGUGCGGUGUUGUCUGGGCUCACUGUGUGUCUGCUUGAUGUGCUUUUUGCAAGUAUCAUUGCAUGUAUGCAUGCAUGAAAUAGUAUGUGUGUGUGUGUGUGUGUGAGAGAAAUACCUGAGGGUCAGCUGACCCUCAGGUAUGACCACACUAUUGCAGAAUUAAUUAGAAUUAAACAUUUCGGGUCUAGCCCUU